This 253-nucleotide ribosomal RNA is filed under the name uncultured bacterium. RNAcentral describes it as "partial 16S ribosomal RNA". It matches the Rfam family "Bacterial small subunit ribosomal RNA", at positions 524 to 776 of the family's 1533-position model. The record is from RNAcentral.
UACAGAGGGGGCUAGCGUUGUUCGGAAUUACUGGGCGUAAAGGGCGCGUAGGUGGCCUGUUAAGUCGAACGUGAAAUCCCCGGGCUCAACCCGGGAACUGCGUCCGAGACUGGCAGGCUCGAAUCCGGGAGAGGGAUGCAGAAUUCCAGGUGUAGCGGUGAAAUGCGUAGAUAUCUGGAGGAAUACCGGUGGCGAAGGCGGCAUCCUGGACCGGCAUUGACGCUGAGGAGCGAAAGCCAGGGGAGCAAACGGG